RNAcentral lists this ribosomal RNA (293 nucleotides) under Dermacentor parumapertus. Its description in RNAcentral is "partial 16S ribosomal RNA". The stretch from base 150 to 293 matches the Rfam family "Bacterial large subunit ribosomal RNA", at positions 2473 to 2617 of the family's 2925-position model. Lineage: Eukaryota; Metazoa; Arthropoda; Arachnida; Ixodida; Ixodidae. The record is from RNAcentral.
UUGGGACAAGAAGACCCUAAGAAUUUUAAAGAUAAUAAUUUUAAUAUUAAAAUUAUUAUCUUUUAGUUGGGGCAACUAAAAAAGAUUAUAAACUUUUUAUUUAAUAAAAUGAUCCAUUAUUAAUGAUAAUUUGAUAAAAAUACUCUAGGGAUAACAGCGUAAUAAUUUUUGAUAGAACAUAUAGACAAAAUAGUUUGCGACCUCGAUGUUGGAUUAGGAUACUUUUUUAAUGAAGAUGUUAAAAAAAGAAGUUUGUUCAACUUUUAAAGUCCUACUUGAUCUGAGUUCAGACG